This 496-nucleotide ribosomal RNA is filed under the name uncultured bacterium. Its description in RNAcentral is "partial 16S ribosomal RNA". It matches the Rfam family "Bacterial small subunit ribosomal RNA", at positions 29 to 507 of the family's 1533-position model. The record is from RNAcentral.
AUGAACGCUGGCGGCGUGCCUAAUACAUGCAAGUCGAGCGAACAGACGAGGAGCUUGCUCCGCUGACGUUAGCGGCGGACGGGUGAGUAACACGUGGAUAACCUACCUAUAAGACUGGGAUAACUUCGGGAAACCGGAGCUAAUACCGGAUAAUAUAUUUAACCGCAUGGUUCAAUAGUGAAAGACGGUUUUGCUGUCACUUAUAGAUGGAUCCGCGCCGCAUUAGCUAGUUGGUAAGGUAACGGCUUACCAAGGCAACGAUGCGUAGCCGACCUGAGAGGGUGAUCGGCCACACUGGAACUGAGACACGGUCCAGACUCCUACGGGAGGCAGCAGUAGGGAAUCUUCCGCAAUGGGCGAAAGCCUGACGGAGCAACGCCGCGUGAGUGAUGAAGGUCUUCGGAUCGUAAAACUCUGUUAUUAGGGAAGAACAAAUGUGUAAGUAACUAUGCACGUCUUGACGGUACCUAAUCAGAAAGCCACGGCUAACUACGUG